RNAcentral lists this ribosomal RNA (333 nucleotides) under Triticum aestivum (bread wheat). RNAcentral's name for it is "partial small subunit ribosomal RNA". The record is from RNAcentral. Lineage: Eukaryota; Viridiplantae; Streptophyta; Magnoliopsida; Poales; Poaceae.
AUGUUCCGCCUUUCCCUCGCAAAUUUUUGUAAUACAGCCGUGAACCAUAUUCAUUCGAAUGUUAAUAAAUCUGAAGUUUGGCAUUCACGUCUUUGUCACAUUAGUUUUGGUGUUAUGACGUGGCUAGCUAAGUUGGAUUUAAUCCCGAGUUUCACUUUAGCCAAAGGUUCUAAGUGUCUUUCAUGUGUGCAAGCUAAGCAACCUCGCAAGCCUCGUAAGGCCGCGGAGGAGAGACACUUGGCACCAUUAGAACUCAUACAUUCUGAUCUUUGUGAGAUGAAUGGUGUGUUGACUAAAGGUGGAAAGAAAAUACUUCAUGACAUUAAUAGAUGA